AGAUUCUUCAGCAUCAGACCACCAGUCGUUCCCCUGAACCCAUUUUCUGUACCUGGAAAUUGGAUCCCUUGCUGUUCGCCAAUGCUCGAUCUCAUCAACUGGCCUGUACUUGGUUGAAUCAUCAGAUGUCGAGUGAUGGCCAACUCUGUAAGUCAGGGCCUGAAAGUUGAACAGUCAAUACUCAGAUCAAUUAUACUAUGAAGUUUUGUUGUUUCAGGUAAUGCAACUUGGUUGAAUUAUUCUUAUUCUGCACCUCAACUAAAAUCGGUCUCCCUUCAGCUAUAGCCAUUUCU
This 293-nucleotide long non-coding RNA is filed under the name Setaria italica (foxtail millet). RNAcentral describes it as "long non-coding RNA (SITA_LNC005506)". Lineage: Eukaryota; Viridiplantae; Streptophyta; Magnoliopsida; Poales; Poaceae. The record is from RNAcentral.